GGCCUCUCGGUGCUUACCACAGGCUGUGUUCUCACAAGGCCUGCCCAGAAAGGGGGCAGAGCAAACUCACCCCGUAUACACCUCAGCCCAGGCCUCUGCCCGGUCUGUAUUGUGCGUGAGGGGGGACAUGA
Molecule: small nucleolar RNA, 131 nt
Organism: Artibeus jamaicensis (Jamaican fruit-eating bat)
Lineage: Eukaryota; Metazoa; Chordata; Mammalia; Chiroptera; Phyllostomidae
Product: small nucleolar RNA SNORA51
Exons: 1
Source: RefSeq, a predicted model, not a curated record